AUGUACUCCAGCAGAGGAUCAAAUGAUCAGAGAGAGGAGAUGAACCUGGGCACCAGCCAAACCCAGCAGCAGCUCCUGGACGUGGGAGAGGAGGAGCGCCUGCGCUUGGAUGCAGUGGUCGGAGGUGGGUACGGAGGUGGAGAUGGCGGAACAGCCUGUGCUCGCCUCCACCUGGGCGCGGGUCAGGAGGAGCCCCUGUGUGUGGGCGGCAGCAGACCACCAGCUCUACUCCAGCGGCGGCAGCGCCUGGGCAGGGGGCGGAGGUGGAGAUGGAGGGCGGAGGCGGAGGUGGAAGACGAUCGAUCCGGAUUCAAAUUUUGA
Molecule: ribosomal RNA, 321 nt
Filed under: Triticum aestivum (bread wheat)
Lineage: Eukaryota; Viridiplantae; Streptophyta; Magnoliopsida; Poales; Poaceae
Description: partial small subunit ribosomal RNA
Source: RNAcentral